RNAcentral lists this ribosomal RNA (447 nucleotides) under uncultured bacterium. Its description in RNAcentral is "partial 16S ribosomal RNA". It matches the Rfam family "Bacterial small subunit ribosomal RNA", at positions 29 to 523 of the family's 1533-position model. The record is from RNAcentral.
AACGAACGCUGGCGGCAGGCUUAACACACGCAAGUCGAACGCCCCGCAAGGGGAGUGGCAGACGGGUGAGUAACGCGUGGGAAUCUACACAUCUCUGCGGAAUAGCUCCGGGAAACUGGAAUUAAUACCGCAUACGCCCUACGGGGGAAAGAUUUAUCGGGGAUGGAUGAGCCCGCGUUGGAUUAGCUAGUUGGUGGGGUAAAGGCCUACCAAGGCGACGAUCCAUAGCUGGUCUGGGAGGAUGAUCAGCCACAUUGGGACUGAGACACGGCCCAAACACUUACGGGAGGCAGCAGUGGGGAAUAAUGGAAAAUGGGCGAAAGCCUGAACGAGCCAUGCGGCAUGAGUGAUGAAGGCCUUAGGGUUGUAAAGCUCUUUCACCGGUGAAGAUAAUGACGGUAACCGGAGAAGAAGCCCCGGCUAACUUCGUGCCAGCCGCAGCCGUAA